UACGUAGGGUGCGAGCGUUGUCCGGAAUUAUUGGGCGUAAAGGGCUCGUAGGCGGUUUGUCGCGUCGGGAGUGAAAACUCCGGGCUUAACUCGGUGCUUGCUUUCGAUACGGGCAGACUAGAGGCAUGCAGGGGAGAACGGAAUUCCUGGUGUAGCGGUGAAAUGCGCAGAUAUCAGGAGGAACACCGGUGGCGAAGGCGGUUCUCUGGGCAUGUCCUGACGCUGAGGAGCGAAAGUGUGGGGAGCGAACAGG
RNAcentral lists this ribosomal RNA (253 nucleotides) under uncultured bacterium. RNAcentral's name for it is "partial 16S ribosomal RNA". It matches the Rfam family "Bacterial small subunit ribosomal RNA", at positions 524 to 776 of the family's 1533-position model. The record is from RNAcentral.